CGGAGGGGGCUAGCGUUAUUCGGAAUUACUGGGCGUAAAGCGCACGUAGGCGGAUUGGAAAGUUGGGGGUGAAAUCCCGGGGCUCAACCCCGGAACUGCCUUCAAAACUAUCGGUCUGGAGUUCGAGAGAGGUGAGUGGAAUUCCGAGUGUAGAGGUGAAAUUCGUAGAUAUUCGGAGGAACACCAGUGGCGAAGGCGGCUCACUGGCUCGAUACUGACGCUGAGGUGCGAAAGCGUGGGGAGCAAACAGGA
This 252-nucleotide ribosomal RNA is filed under the name uncultured Paracoccaceae bacterium. RNAcentral's name for it is "uncultured Rhodobacteraceae bacterium partial 16S ribosomal RNA". It matches the Rfam family "Bacterial small subunit ribosomal RNA", at positions 526 to 777 of the family's 1533-position model. Lineage: Bacteria; Pseudomonadati; Pseudomonadota; Alphaproteobacteria; Rhodobacterales; Paracoccaceae. The record is from RNAcentral.